This 303-nucleotide ribosomal RNA is filed under the name uncultured bacterium. RNAcentral's name for it is "partial 16S ribosomal RNA". It matches the Rfam family "Bacterial small subunit ribosomal RNA", at positions 507 to 809 of the family's 1533-position model. The record is from RNAcentral.
AGCAGUCGCCACGGUAAUACGUAGGUGGCAAGCGUUAAUCGGAAUUAUUGGGCGUAAAGGGCUCGCAGGCGGUUUCUUAAGUCUGAUGUGAAAGCCCCCGGCUCAACCGGGGAGGGUCAUUGGAAACUUGGAAACUUGAGUGCAGAAGAGGAGAGUGGGAUUCCACGUGUAGCGGUGAAAUGCGUAGAGAUGUGGAGGAACACCAGUGGUGAAGGCGACUCUCUGGUCUGUAACUGACGCUGAGGAGCGAAAGCGUGGGGAGCGAACAGGAUUAGAGACCCGCGUAGUCUGUCUCUUAUACAA